Molecule: transfer RNA, 86 nt
Filed under: Gammaproteobacteria bacterium
Lineage: Bacteria; Pseudomonadati; Pseudomonadota; Gammaproteobacteria
Description: tRNA-Ser
Rfam family: tRNA
About the family: Transfer RNA (tRNA) molecules are approximately 80 nucleotides in length. Their secondary structure includes four short double-helical elements and three loops (D, anti-codon, and T loops). Further hydrogen bonds mediate the characteristic L-shaped molecular structure. tRNAs have two regions of fundamental functional importance: the anti-codon, which is responsible for specific mRNA codon recognition, and the 3' end, to which the tRNAs corresponding amino acid is attached (by aminoacyl-tRNA synthetases). tRNAs cope with the degeneracy of the genetic code in two manners: having more than one tRNA (with a specific anti-codon) for a particular amino acid; and 'wobble' base-pairing, i.e. permitting non-standard base-pairing at the 3rd anti-codon position.
Source: RNAcentral
GGAGGGGUGACCGAGCGGCUAAGGUACCGGUCUUGAAAACCGAGGUCAGGGUAAUGCCUGCGUGGGUUCGAGUCCCACCCCCUCCG